GAAGCGGGCUUGCUCGCGAAGGCGGUAUGUCAGUACCAAAUUUAUUGACUGAUACACAGCCUUCGCGAGCAAGCCCGCCCC
RNAcentral lists this unclassified non-coding RNA (81 nucleotides) under Pseudomonas brenneri. The record is from RNAcentral. Lineage: Bacteria; Pseudomonadati; Pseudomonadota; Gammaproteobacteria; Pseudomonadales; Pseudomonadaceae.